CGACUCGAUGAUCCAACGAUUGAGAAUAUUUUAGAUUGGGGCUAUCAAAAUUUUAGAUCUCAUUGGUAUGAUUUCAUCAUGGCUCUAAAAACAUUGCCCUAAUCUAUGGAUUUUAUCAUAAUCAUAAAAAAAAUAUAAUAUAGCAAAUGAUAAAAUACAAUAUCUAAUGAAUAAAAUAACUAAUGUCAUACAAAUGAGG
This 199-nucleotide long non-coding RNA is filed under the name Elaeis guineensis (African oil palm). Its description in RNAcentral is "long non-coding RNA (EGUI_LNC050880)". The record is from RNAcentral. Lineage: Eukaryota; Viridiplantae; Streptophyta; Magnoliopsida; Arecales; Arecaceae.